AUUUGUCAAAUGAUAUAUGUGUGUAUGUACAAGAGGUACACGACUGUCGGCAUUAGUACAAUCUCAGAUCAGAAACUUUUCACAACUUGACAUAGAUUGAAUUAUUUGUUAUAUUUGUACGUACAUUUGUUUGUUCGAUUAAUUAAUAAAUAAUAAAUUGGUUAUUGACAGUAGUGUCGGGCUGAAGCAUAAAAAACACAAUUAUUACGCAGGAAGAAUGGAAACGUAACGUGAUGGCAUGACGUGAUAAUUUACACACCACGCGUCUCAAUUUUCUAAUCUUGUGAUUGUACCAAAUAUGCACUGAUCAGCCAAAAUAUUGAAUGGAAUUCCCGAUGUGUUUCACCUACUCUCCAACUCUUCGAUUUUUCCGGCGUGACUCGACGGCUAGCUGGUUGGUUGGUCCGCCCGGUCCACUACCAUUGGAACUUGGUGCUGAGAAAUUGUCUGGAUCUUCUUGAAGGGACCUGAAUAUAAAGGAGUAGUUUUAUAUAUUUUUUAAGGAAUUUAUAUGAAUGUUCGAAGGGGUAAACAUUUCCCGCCAACUUGGAUAAUAAGCAUUAUCGAUGCAGAUUUAAUUUAGCCUUAAA
Long non-coding RNA from Hermetia illucens (black soldier fly), 590 nucleotides. RefSeq lists it as uncharacterized. The transcript has 3 exons. Lineage: Eukaryota; Metazoa; Arthropoda; Insecta; Diptera; Stratiomyidae. The record is from RefSeq and is a predicted model, not a curated record.